UACAGAGGGUGCGAGCGUUGUCCGGAAUCACUGGGCGUAAAGGGCGCGUAGGCGGCUUGGUAAGUAGGGGGUGAAAUCUCACGGCUCAACUGUGAGGCUGCCUUCUAGACUGCCGAGCUCGAGCACAGUAGAGGCUGGUGGAAUUCCCGGUGUAGCGGUGGAAUGCGUAGAGAUCGGGAAGAACAUCUGUGGCGAAGGCGGCCAGCUGGGCUGUUGCUGACGCUG
This 225-nucleotide ribosomal RNA is filed under the name uncultured bacterium. Its description in RNAcentral is "partial 16S ribosomal RNA". It matches the Rfam family "Bacterial small subunit ribosomal RNA", at positions 524 to 748 of the family's 1533-position model. The record is from RNAcentral.